Molecule: ribosomal RNA, 254 nt
Filed under: uncultured bacterium
Lineage: Bacteria
Description: partial 16S ribosomal RNA
Rfam family: Bacterial small subunit ribosomal RNA
Source: RNAcentral
UACGUAGGGUGCGAGCGUUUGUCCGGAAUUAUUGGGCGUAAAGAGCUCGUAGGCGGUCUGUCGCGUCGAUCGUGAAAACUUGGGGCUUAACCCUGAGCUUGCGGUCGAUACGGGCAUGACUGGAGUUCGGCAGGGGAGACUGGAAUUCCUGGUGUAGCGGUGAAAUGCGCAGAUAUCAGGAGGAACACCUAUUGCGAAGGCAGCUCGCUGGGACGUCACUGACGCUGAGACGCGAAAGCGUGGGGAGCAACAGG